Molecule: ribosomal RNA, 907 nt
Filed under: Orthostrongylus macrotis
Lineage: Eukaryota; Metazoa; Nematoda; Chromadorea; Rhabditida; Metastrongylidae
Description: partial large subunit ribosomal RNA
Rfam family: Eukaryotic large subunit ribosomal RNA
Source: RNAcentral
GCGCUGAAUCUUUCGAUACUAUAUCGUAAAGAAAUGUAGCGUAUAGGUAUAAUUUUCGGCUUGUUUGGCAUGUCCAAAGUUCCUUUGAUAGGGACCAUCAUCCAGAGAGGGUGCGAGGCCUGUGCGGAUAGCUGAACAUGCCGUAUGAUUAUACCUUGGAGUCGGGUUGCUUGAAAGUGCAGCCUUAAGUGGGUGAUAAACUUCAUCUAAGGCUAAAUACGAACGCGAAUUCGAUAGCAAACAAGUACUGUGAAGGAAAGUUGCAAAGAACUUUGAAGAGAGAGUUCAAGAGAACGUGAAAUCGUUGAGGUGGAACCGGAGAGAGUUGACGUAGUCUGAUGGUUAAGUAUUAUGAGAAUCGUAUUCAUUAAUUUGAAUAUGAUCAAAUAAUAUGUAUACCACCAAUGACUGUGCUGACAGUAUCGGCUGCACGAUCCAAACUAUGUUGACAUGUUGCUCAUUCUAUUCAUUUAGAAUGAUGUCUUGUGUUACGUUGUGAGGUUUGUUGUAUGUUGAUGUUGAUAAACGCCUAAUUAUUUCUAUAAUAAUUAUGUCAGCGUAAAAGUCAACCACCUCUCCGACCCGUCUUGAAACACGGACCGAGGAGUGUAACUUGUACGCAAGUCAAUAGGUGAAAAACCUUAUGGCGAAAUGAAAGUGAAGGCACGGUUAACCGGCUGACAUGGGAAACGUCUUCCAUUACGAGCAAGAUGUUGCACCAUGGCCCUGUCUUGUCUGCAUGCAGAUGGGCAGUGGUAGAGCGUACAGGUUGCGACCCGAAAGAUGGUGAACUAUGCCUGAGCAGGAUGAAGUCAGAGGAAACUCUGAUGGAAGUCCGUAUCGGUUCUGACGUGCAAAUCGAUCGAUAGACUUGGGUAUAGGGGCGAAAGACUAAUCGAACCAUCUA